UACGGCGAGGCGGGGCCGUCCGCGGUGGCGGCGGCUGCGAGGCUAGUGAGCGUUGGCCACCGGCCGGGGACGGGGCGGGGCGGUGUGCGUCCUGGCUCUGCCUGGCCGCACUAGGCAGGCGCGGGUAGCCGGGCCGGUGCCGUCCGGGAGGCGUAGGCAGGAGCCCGGGCAUUGCGGCCGCGGAGUGGAGAGGACCUGGAGCCCGGCGCCGGGCUAAGCGGUCUCGGGUCUCGGGGGGCGACGCACAGGCUUCAAGGGGUGCUUGGUUGGUCUGUCCCGUCGCUGCGAGGUAUGACUCGUCCUCGCGAGAUUUGUCCACAGGCGGAGCCUGGCAGAGGGUUGACGUCCCGGGCUCCUCAGGAACCAGUGCCCUAAGGACUUGUGUGUGAGGUGGCCUGCUGCCUGGCCCAUCGCCAUGCACACCCUUGUGUUCCUGAGCACACGGCAGGUGCUCCAGUGCCAGUCAGCUGCCUGCCAGGCCCUGCCCCUGCUGCCGAGAGAGCUCUUUCCCUUGCUGUUCAAAGUGGCCUUCAUGGACAAGAAGACCAUCGUGCUACGUGAGCUGGUGCACACGUGGCCCUUCCCGCUGCUCAGCUUCCAGCAGCUGCUGCAGGAGUGUGCCCACUGCAGCCGGGCCUUGCUGCAGGAGCGACCUAGCACAGAGAGCAUGCAGGCCGUGAUCCUGGGGCUGACUGCCCGGCUCCACACCCCGGAGACGGAGGCUGGCACACAGCCCCUCUGCAGGAAGCACGCACUGCGUGUGCUGGACAUGACGGGCCUCCUGGACGACGGCGUGGAGCAGGACCCUGGCACAAUGAGCAUGUGGGACUGCACGGCAGCUGUGGCCCGCACGUGCAUCGCACAGCAGCAGGGCAGGACUGCAGAGCCUGGGCUGGCCCCGGUUCCUGUGGAGGUGCGUGUGGACCUGCGGGUGAACCGGGCCUCUUAUGCGUUCCUGCGGGAGGCUCUCCGCAGCAGCGUAGGCAGCCCACUGCGACUCUGCUGCCGGGACCUGCGGGCUGAGGACCUGCCCAUGCGCAAUACUGUGGCCCUGCUGCAGCUUCUGGAUGCGGGCUGCCUGCGCCGUGUAGACCUGCGCUUCAACAACUUGGGCCUGCGCGGCCUUUCCGUCAUCAUCCCACACGUGGCCCGCUUCCAGCACCUGGCUAGCUUGCGGCUGCACUAUGUGCACGGGGACUCGAGGCAGCCGUCUGUGGACGGCGAGGACAACUUCCGCUACUUUCUGGCCCAGAUGGGUCGCUUCACCUGUCUGCGGGAACUCAGCAUGGGCUCCUCUCUCCUCUCGGGGCGGCUGGACCAGUUGCUCAGCACUCUGCAGAGCCCUCUGGAGAGCCUGGAGCUGGCCUUCUGUGCCCUGCUGCCUGAAGACCUGCGUUUCCUGGCACGAAGCCCACAUGCUGUCCACCUCAAGAAGUUGGACCUGAGUGGCAACGAUUUAUCCGGCAGCCAGCUGGAACCCUUUCAGGGUCUGCUACAGGCAGCAGCAGCCACGCUACUGCACCUUGAACUGACCGAGUGCCAGCUUGCUGAUAGCCAGCUGCUGGCCACACUCCCUGUGCUGACUCGUUGCACCAACCUCCGCUACCUCGGCCUUUAUGGCAACCCGCUGUCCAUGGCAGGCCUCAAGGAGCUCCUGCGGGACUCGGUGGCGCAGGCUGAGCUGCGCACAGUGGUGCACCCUUUCCCUGUGGACUGCUACGAAGGCCUGCCCUGGCCGCCGCCUGCUUCUGUCCUGCUGGAAGCCUCCAUCAACGAGGAGAAGUUUGCCCGCGUGGAAGCCGAGUUGCACCAGCUGCUGCUGGCCUCAGGCCGUGCCCAUGUGCUGUGGACUACAGACAUCUAUGGGCGCCUGGCUGCAGACUACUUUAGCCUGUGACCUCCAGGCUCUGGGCUUCUGCACAGUCUGUCGCACCUUCCACCUCGCCGAGGUCCAGGCUCUUCCAGCAGGAGGCGGGGCCGGAGGUGGACGUACCGAGCUGUAGGUCGGAUGUUUUGGGGAGGGGUCUGUUCCGGAGGGAGGGCCUCUGUGGGGCUGUUGGGAGCUACCUCGGACGCCCUGGGCUCGCACCCCAGGACUCCGUCCGUCCGCGGAGCUUGCCUGCCCAGGUGCUUGCGCCCCGCGCCCCCUCCCCCACACACACACGCACACACACGGCUCGCAGCACAGGGCUCGCAGCACAGUGCGCACGCAGCUUCCACCCUUUACUGACCGCGCGGGAGCAUGCGCAGAGCGAGUCGCGUCGGCCAAUCCGCGGCCCCGACGUCAUCGGCGCGCGGCCCGCCCCUCAGCAGUGGAUCUCGUAGGCGGCUGGAGGCUGCAGCGGGAGCCCCUGCGCGGGCCCGGCUGUCGUCCCUUCGCCCGCCUCCGCCGGGCCUUCGGCGAAGAGCGGCUUAGAGCGGUCGAUGACGAACAUCUCGUGGCCCCGCUCGUCGCGGAACUCCUCGAGCUGCGCGAAGGGCGCCCCAUUUACCCACCGGGAAGGCUCGCACACCCGUCCCUCCACGUCACUGACACUCGAAGCCCGCAGCCCGGCAACCCACAAGGUGCCCACCUGUGUCCCAGGC
Phacochoerus africanus (Common warthog) is the source of this 2586-nucleotide RNA transcript. It is a transcript of the gene named leucine rich repeat containing 14, with no coding region annotated. The transcript is spliced from 7 exons. Lineage: Eukaryota; Metazoa; Chordata; Mammalia; Artiodactyla; Suidae. The record is from RefSeq and is a predicted model, not a curated record.